RNAcentral lists this ribosomal RNA (240 nucleotides) under Triticum aestivum (bread wheat). Its description in RNAcentral is "partial small subunit ribosomal RNA". The record is from RNAcentral. Lineage: Eukaryota; Viridiplantae; Streptophyta; Magnoliopsida; Poales; Poaceae.
AUGGAGGAGCUGGGAUUGAAAGAGGAGGACCUUGACGACGUGGUUUUUGAUGAGGAAGAUGCGCCGACAGCAAAAGCUAGAUGGAUCGCACUAGCAAAAGUCAAUACCAGCAAGACAUAUAGUCAGACUUGGUUCUAUAGGAACAUGCGAUCGGCGUGGGAUAUUGCGCAACAUGUGAAGUUCAGACCCCUAGAGGAUAAUCUUUACUCUGUUCAAUUCUCGUGCUUGGGAGAUUGGGAG